RNAcentral lists this ribosomal RNA (301 nucleotides) under uncultured bacterium. RNAcentral describes it as "partial 16S ribosomal RNA". It matches the Rfam family "Bacterial small subunit ribosomal RNA", at positions 509 to 807 of the family's 1533-position model. The record is from RNAcentral.
CAGCCGCCGCGGGAAUACGAAGGGUGCAAGCGUUAAUCGGAAUUACUGGGCGUAAAGCGUGCGUAGGCGGUUUGUUAAGUCUGUUGUGAAAUCCCCGGGCUCAACCUGGGAAUGGCAAUGGAUACUGGCAAGCUAGAGUGUGUCAGAGGAUGGUGGAAUUCCCGGUGUAGCGGUGAAAUGCGUAGAGAUCGGAAGGAACAUCUGUGGCGAAGGCGACUAUCUGGGCCAACACUGACGCUGAGGCACGAAAGCGUGGGGAGCAAACAGGAUUAGAUACCCCGGUAGUCCCUGUCUCUUAUAC